UGGUAGUACUGAUGUGCUUAACUGCCAGUUA
RNAcentral lists this non-coding RNA (31 nucleotides) under Homo sapiens (human). Lineage: Eukaryota; Metazoa; Chordata; Mammalia; Primates; Hominidae. The record is from RNAcentral.